GGAGAGGUGUCUGAGUGGACGAAAGAGAUGGUCUUGAAAACCAUUAAGGACGCAAGUUCUUCGUGAGUUCGAAUCUCACCCUCUCCGCCA
RNAcentral lists this transfer RNA (90 nucleotides) under Candidatus Levybacteria bacterium RIFCSPHIGHO2_02_FULL_37_13. Its description in RNAcentral is "tRNA-Ser". It matches the Rfam family "tRNA". Rfam says of the family: Transfer RNA (tRNA) molecules are approximately 80 nucleotides in length. Their secondary structure includes four short double-helical elements and three loops (D, anti-codon, and T loops). Further hydrogen bonds mediate the characteristic L-shaped molecular structure. tRNAs have two regions of fundamental functional importance: the anti-codon, which is responsible for specific mRNA codon recognition, and the 3' end, to which the tRNAs corresponding amino acid is attached (by aminoacyl-tRNA synthetases). tRNAs cope with the degeneracy of the genetic code in two manners: having more than one tRNA (with a specific anti-codon) for a particular amino acid; and 'wobble' base-pairing, i.e. permitting non-standard base-pairing at the 3rd anti-codon position. Lineage: Bacteria; Candidatus Levyibacteriota. The record is from RNAcentral. RNAcentral also lists the same sequence under 1 other name.